RNAcentral lists this transfer RNA (72 nucleotides) under Camelus bactrianus (Bactrian camel). It matches the Rfam family "tRNA". From Rfam's summary of the family: Transfer RNA (tRNA) molecules are approximately 80 nucleotides in length. Their secondary structure includes four short double-helical elements and three loops (D, anti-codon, and T loops). Further hydrogen bonds mediate the characteristic L-shaped molecular structure. tRNAs have two regions of fundamental functional importance: the anti-codon, which is responsible for specific mRNA codon recognition, and the 3' end, to which the tRNAs corresponding amino acid is attached (by aminoacyl-tRNA synthetases). tRNAs cope with the degeneracy of the genetic code in two manners: having more than one tRNA (with a specific anti-codon) for a particular amino acid; and 'wobble' base-pairing, i.e. permitting non-standard base-pairing at the 3rd anti-codon position. The record is from Rfam by way of RNAcentral. RNAcentral also lists the same sequence under 2 other names. Lineage: Eukaryota; Metazoa; Chordata; Mammalia; Artiodactyla; Camelidae.
GAGGGUACAGCUCAGUGGUAGAGCGCAUGCUUAGCAUGUACACGGUCCUGGGCUCAAUCCCCAAUAUCUCCA